UCCAAUCCAACAUAAACAGUUUAACAGUAUUACAGUAACAUGUCAAGUUAACAUAUUACAAAAUAGCUUAAGUACUUGACUGUCCAGUAAAUACAGCAACAAGAAGCAAAUACAGCAGCAAAUUAAUUGUUACAAAUUAACUGUCCAGUAAAUUAAACAGGCAGCAACAAGCCCAACAUGCAACAAGCCAACACUACUAGCUGACUUAGCAACAAGCCCAACAUGCAACAGGAUAGGCAGCAACAAGAAGAACUGAAGAAGCCAACAACAUGGUGUUUGUCUGUUUGAGAUAUCCCAAGUUCACAACAACAGCAACAGACAACACUACAAUAGGAACAAAAACCUAUUUUCCAUCUGGCUGAACCCAACCCUCGUGACUACCCAUGUAAUUGUUCCAUGUUGUUCACCUGUUAUCUGAAAAAACCUAUUUUCCUCUGUUCUUUCCAGAUUGAUAGAGCAAAAGAAAACAAAAAAAUAAUAUGAGCAAUCUAAUAUCUGAAGUAAAAUGAACAAAUCAAAGUAAUGGGGAAGGAGCAAGAGAUAGUGAAACACGAAAGAGCAUGAAAAGUAUAAAAAAGAAAACACAUUUAAUUAAGCACAACAAUAGUUAUAUAUACACACAUAUAUUUGAAAAUCUAAUACCAAGUGAACUAAUAUCCCCAAAUAUUUGGCAGUCGUUAGCUUUAGAAUGGAGGCAGGCCAAAUUGCUAAUUACAGUCAGGUAAUUGUAGAAUAAUUCUGUUUAUGAGCUUCAAUAGAACAUCAUUAUGCCAUCAGAUUCAGGGUAAGUCGAGAACAUACCAAGACAGACAGUGACCACUUAGACGUCAAGUCGGCGACGACGAGAGGCGCGAGAGACAGACUGUGACCACUGACCAGUGAGUUAGAGUCAGUGAGGGUCAAGACGAGAGACGGACUGACGGAGACCGCGUCGGAGACUGAGACGGGAAAAGGUGGAGGCCGCGCCGGAGAUUGAAAGUUGAGACUAUAGAAGUGUCGAGACUCGAUCGAGAGGGCAAGAGGCUGAGGAGUGACUAGUGAGGACUAAGGAGUGAGGAAUCGAGAAUUGGAGAUCUCAGUUCUCAGAUCAGAUCUGGAGUGGCGAGCGGGUUAGGGACUUGGGGCAAAAUGGGGGAAAACUCAGAUAUACUGAUAGUCGAUAGAAUAGAAGUAAUAAAAAUUCGGUUAUUCGGGUAUCCGAAUAAUAUGUUUUUGCAAACCGGAA
Molecule: long non-coding RNA, 1225 nt
Filed under: Panax ginseng (ginseng)
Lineage: Eukaryota; Viridiplantae; Streptophyta; Magnoliopsida; Apiales; Araliaceae
Description: long non-coding RNA (PGIN_LNC005584)
Source: RNAcentral